CUUUAGAUUGCUAAUCUAAUGUACGUCGUAAGAUGUACCGUGGGUUCGAAUCCCAUCCUCUCCU
RNAcentral lists this transfer RNA (64 nucleotides) under Phaeocystis globosa. Its description in RNAcentral is "partial tRNA-Ser". It matches the Rfam family "tRNA", at positions 24 to 71 of the family's 71-position model. From Rfam's summary of the family: Transfer RNA (tRNA) molecules are approximately 80 nucleotides in length. Their secondary structure includes four short double-helical elements and three loops (D, anti-codon, and T loops). Further hydrogen bonds mediate the characteristic L-shaped molecular structure. tRNAs have two regions of fundamental functional importance: the anti-codon, which is responsible for specific mRNA codon recognition, and the 3' end, to which the tRNAs corresponding amino acid is attached (by aminoacyl-tRNA synthetases). tRNAs cope with the degeneracy of the genetic code in two manners: having more than one tRNA (with a specific anti-codon) for a particular amino acid; and 'wobble' base-pairing, i.e. permitting non-standard base-pairing at the 3rd anti-codon position. Lineage: Eukaryota; Haptophyta; Phaeocystales; Phaeocystaceae. The record is from RNAcentral.